CAACAUGGUGCCUGAAGGCCCAGAAACUCAGUGAGAGACUAGGUCUCAUGUCAUGUGACUUCUACACAGAAAGGAAAAGGAAACAGCACAUUCUCUACUGACGUGUUUAAGCAGAGUCCAUACCUAAAAUUCCCGUCCUCUGAGUUCCUCUCCAGGGGAAACUCUGUCCUGGAGUCCCUCUGCAUUCCCCUUAAGGAGGGGCGGCAGGCUUGACCAACACUGGCCCAUCUCCAAGGUCAAGCUAAGAGGCUCCUCUCUGUGAGUUCAGCAGAACUCCUCCUGGUGGACCCAAGCACCCCUGCAUGGCUCCAGUGUCACAGGCUACGUUGUCUUCUGGCUUGGGUGACACAUGCCACAUGGGUCUUGUUAGUCCUUCUCUCACGAGGCUGGGGUUCUCAGAGGGUAGGACUGUGACUGAUGCACUUUCACAGCCCAACACCUGUCCCAAAGUCAGAAAUAGGGGACGUGGAUGAGAGGACCACUGAUGGCCACCAAGGCUGCCUUGCCCUGGAAUGCACCACCACAGGAGGCACCUCAACUUUAAAUAUUUCUUGCAUCCUGCAACAUAUGAUAUUGUUAAGGUCAUUUACGUUUUGUGUUACUUCUGU
This 608-nucleotide long non-coding RNA is filed under the name Marmota monax (woodchuck). Lineage: Eukaryota; Metazoa; Chordata; Mammalia; Rodentia; Sciuridae. The record is from RNAcentral.